This 413-nucleotide unclassified non-coding RNA is filed under the name Zea mays. Its description in RNAcentral is "misc RNA Zm00001eb020910". Lineage: Eukaryota; Viridiplantae; Streptophyta; Magnoliopsida; Poales; Poaceae. The record is from RNAcentral.
GAGGCUAAUGACUCCUAUGACCCACUCAAAGAUCAGUCACGAAGGCCAAAGUCAAAUGAUCCAGGAUGGAAAUAUGCUUACUAUGUUGAGGCGGGAAAGCGAGAGCUGAUUCAAUGUGCUUUGUGCCCCAAACAAAUAAAAGGAGGUAUCAAGAGGGUGAAACAACAUCUAGCUGGUGGCUAUGGAGACAUUGUCAAGUGUCCUAACACUACUAGAGAGAUUGCUAAAGAGAUGAAUGAAGCUUUGAAUCAUGGGAAGCGGGCUAGGCCGUUGUACCUAGAUGACGAUGUAAUGGAAGAUGAAGCAGGACAAGAAGAUGAUGUCCAAGUUAUGGGAAGCAGGUCAAUGUCAGCAUCAUCCAAGGCUUCCUCAUGUACUGUGCCAAGUUCUGGAACAACUGCCAAAAGAAACAA